AGACGUCUACGAGUUUGAUCAUGGCUCAGGAUGAACGCUAGCGGCAGGCUUAAUACAUGCAAGUCGAGGGGCAGCAUGACUGUAGCAAUACAGUUGAUGGCGACCGGCAAACGGGUGCGGAACACGUACAGAACCUUCCUUCGAGCGGGGAAUAACUCAGGGAAACUUGAGCUAAUACCAUAUAAUGUCUUCGGACCAAAGAUUUAUCGCCCAAGGAUGAGCCCGCGUAGGAUUAGCUAGUUGGUGAGGUAAAGGCUCACCAAGGCGACGAUCCUUAGCUGGUCUGAGAGGAUGAUCAGCCACACUGGGACUGAGACUCGGCCCAGACUCCUACGGGAGGCAGCAGUGGGGAAUAUUGGACAAUGGGCGAAAGCCUGAUCCAGCAAUGCCGCGUGAGUGAUGAAGGCCUUAGGGUUGUAAAGCUCUUUUACCCGGGAUGAUAAUGACAGUACCGGGAGAAUAAGCUCCGGCUAACUCCGUG
Molecule: ribosomal RNA, 481 nt
Filed under: uncultured bacterium
Lineage: Bacteria
Description: bacterial SSU rRNA
Rfam family: Bacterial small subunit ribosomal RNA
Source: RNAcentral